GGAGAGAUGUCCGAGUGGUUUAAGGAGCCGGUCUUGAAAACCGGUGACUCGUAAGAGCCGUGAGUUCGAAUCUCACUCUCUCCGCCA
Molecule: transfer RNA, 87 nt
Filed under: Bacillota bacterium
Lineage: Bacteria; Bacillati; Bacillota
Also listed under: 1 other name
Description: tRNA-Ser
Rfam family: tRNA
About the family: Transfer RNA (tRNA) molecules are approximately 80 nucleotides in length. Their secondary structure includes four short double-helical elements and three loops (D, anti-codon, and T loops).
Source: RNAcentral